Molecule: non-coding RNA, 10343 nt
Organism: Meleagris gallopavo (turkey)
Lineage: Eukaryota; Metazoa; Chordata; Aves; Galliformes; Phasianidae
Source: RefSeq, a predicted model, not a curated record
GCGGCUGCGUGAGGGCUGCGCGUGUCCGCCACGCUCCCCGUCGCCGGCGGCUUUGAACGUGGCAACAUGGAAGCGGGGCGGCUUCUCGCGAGGUUUCGCCGGGAGCGCGCGGAGCUGAGGGCGGGGUCUUACUGUGAGAGGUGGGGACGGCGGUAUUGGGCUCCCGUGUGGCUUCGUUGAAACGUAACACAUUAGAUCAAGUUUUAAAUGUCAUUUUAGGAAAGAUAAUGGAGUGAAAAGCAAACUGAAUGCAGGAAAUGCAGAAAACCAACAUCCACUUCCCUGUAUUUGUCUGUCAGUAUUCACUAACUUGUUAUAGACAAACUGAGACAGAAGUUUUUGGAAGAUGGGGAAGAAAGGGACGAUAGAGUGUCUCAGUCACCUGAGCAUAAACAACUAUGAUGACUGGAGUGAUCUUCCACCAGCACAAGAAGCUGAGAAGAAAAGGGCAAAAGAUUCUUUGUGUGCCUGUAAAAGUUACCUGUGAUAUAUAUUUUCAAAAUAAUCAUCAGAAACUGGCCUUGAAAGAGCCUUAAGCUAGAAGUAGUGCUUUUCAGUUGGAUUGUGAGCAACUGAUAAAUCUAACAGUGCUAAACACAGGUUGGCUGCAUGUAAAUACUAAAACAAACCAGUGUUAGUAUUAGAGAAUCUUGGCUAACAAAAUCCCUAUUACAGUGGGAGCAGGAGGAUGGAGCUUAGUUGAUGAUUAUCAGCAUGUGCUGUCAUAGCUAUUACUGAAAGCAGUAGAAAAAAUUAACAAACAGGAGAAGAUACUUUACUGCCUGUGUAGUAUCUGAUUCUUUUUCCAGAGACUUAAUAUUUUUAGUAAUGAGCACAUCAAAACAUCAAAUUUGUUUCUAGCCUACAAUCACAUUUACUGAAACUGCUGUACAGACUACAGCUGAAGUAGAGAAGCAGAGAUAUUGAAAGGAUCAUCUCAGUUGGGGGGAAAAAAAAGGAAAAAAAAAAAGUUGAUCUGAAGUUCUGAUGAUGUUUGUGUGUGUGUGUGUGUUUUUGUUUUCUGUCUUUUUAAAGAAAGAAGUAUUUUUCAUAAAUUAGGGCAUCAUUCCUGGAGGAUGUGCAGAUAGGAGCAGAAGCAGCAGUGCGCUUAAUAAAUAGGUUAUCCUGCUGGAUCAUACUUUACUGCGAGUAAAGUAUUACUGAGCAGCUUUCCAGAAUUGAUCCAGAGUAUUCUUAUCAAGUUAUAAUCAGCCACCAUCCAGAGCUGCCGACCCCAAAUGCCACUUUGCUUUGCUUACCUUCACAUUUUCUAAUAUACUAAGCUAUUGAAUUUGGCACAUUGGAAAACAAAACAGUAUGUUCUGGGAGCAGUAGAAUACAAGAUAUCUAACUUGCUGAAGAUUUCUUUUCUUUGUCCCUUAAAUCCCUCUUCCACCUCAGCCUCAGUAGUUCCCAACUUCUGCUAAGUGCUGUGAUGAUCCCCAUGGGAUGUUCAGAUAAUACAUGCUAUCUGAUUAGCACAGAGCUUUGUGGCUAGCAUGUUCUGGCAUAGCUGGCCAGUACGUACUUGCUGAUCAGUUAACUUGCUGGCAAAUUAAAGAGCUAUGUCCUUUCUAAUGAACUUUGUAUCUUCAGUUAUAAAUAAAUACCACUCAGGUUUAUUUAACAUGCACUGCAACCUUCAGAAGCUUUUACAUAUUUAAUCUUUCCAGAAAUAAAGCAGAUAAGCAUAACUGUAUUUAAAAUAAUUGAAAAAUUGAAAGCACCUGCAGGAAAUAGGUAAACAAUAGCUACUGUUGGUAAAAACUGGAAAGAGUAGAGCUUUCUCUAUGAGAGAUCUUUUCAGCACAGAGCACUUGCUCACAGGUUCCUUGCAGGCAUUUUCAGUCUGGCUGUACGAUCAGACUAAGGCAGUAAAUAGGAUGAGUAGUAUUCCCUUCAGAAUUACACUCUUUGCUAAAGCAGAAUUGAUCAGAACUCACUCAUACCCAUGUCUUUGCAAGUCAUUUCAGCAGCACAUCCUACAGCACAGACAUACACUGCCAAAGGGAUUUUUUUUGGCCUUCGGAGUGUACUUGUGUCAAGGGCAAAAGUAAACACAAGAAAAGAAAGAUGCAACCUCAGUAUGGUAGUUGGAUAUAUCAGAUAGCACUAGCCUUCCUGGGACUUCUACCAACUCCUUCAAUUUGCAAGGUGAAAAAAUAAAACUUGAAGUUGAUAUUUUCAUUAAGUAAUUUUUAUUUUCAUUUCUCUCUAAGCCUAUUUCUUUUUCAGUGAAAUGUAUAUGGCAGUUGAAGAACUGUAACUUAAUCAUAGGAUCUUGACACACCCAUGACCUUACGUUCGUUAUGCAAGUGAAUUUCACAGUUGAAUUAUUCCUCAUGUUUCAUCCAUUAAUUUUUAGAGCCCAAUGGUAUGAAUAGAACGCGGACAGACCUGAGUGGAGUUGGCACUGUAUGUUGAUGCCUCCUUUGAGAUAAAUAAUGAUCUUUUUUUGGCAUGUUUACUCUCUGGUUAGCUCUUUGUGCAUAUCUAUAAAUAAGGUAUUUGAAUACUUCUUUUUUAAACUGUAAUUUUUUUACAUGUUCAGCAAUAAACAUUUUCUGCCAGCUGUAUGCUUUCAGGAGCUUAGCUUCAAUUUCCCACAGGUAUCUCUUUUCCUCCCACUGGAGCAUAACGCUUUAAAGUGUGGCUUGUCUUACUGUUUGUUUAAGUACUCCUUAGAUUUUUGAUGGUGGGUGUCUCUUUGUGUUUUUUGUUUGUGUUUUAAUUUUUCUGUGUAUUUCACUAUAAUAGUUUCAGAAAUUUCCACAAAAAAAAAAUUACACUGGGCUGAUACAAUUUGUACAUGGUUGCACCUAUUGACAAGUAAAACCAGAUUUCUUGCUAAGCUUUUCAAACUGAAAGAGCAAUUGCUUCAUUUGUUUAAAGUAAUAGGCAUGUUAUUUCUUGUUUGGGUGCAACCUAACUCGAGCAAACACUGAACUUUCAGCACAGCAGUGGAUUAUACAUAGGGUGCAAUAAUCUUGUCCCCCCUCACUGAGAGACAGGAAGAUAUUUUUGGUAAUCUGAAGAAUAAAUUCUGUCACAUAGGAAUGUUUGGUUACUUUUGCUUGAUGUGACAUAGCAAAAACAGUUGAAACGGACAACUAUUUCCAAUAAAAAUGUUGUUUUGUGUGAUAAUAUUUCCUAAGAGGACAUUGGUUUCCCCUGUCAAAAGUUGCAGAUAAGUGGGUUGCAAUGUCUUUGACAAUAUCUAAGUAAUUAAUAUUUGCGGUGGUGAGGUAUAAGCAAUGUUAGAGGUGUAUGUAUUAGGCCAUCUUAACAGGGAAUGAGCAAAGGCUGAGUCCAAAAUACAACCGAGGUGGGGAAUGAGAGCCAGAGACAGUGGGAAUAGGAAGUCUGAUGGUGUUUGUUAGAGGCUAUCUGGUCUUUGUGGGAUGUUAAGCUGCCAGCUGUCAGCUCCACCUGGCAGAUAGAAGUAAAUGCUGCCUUCUAGGCAGCAGUAGCAAUAACUCCCAACAAGUUGGGUAUCUUGUAGGUGUGGUGGUCAUGGCUGUGUUUCCUUUAGAUAAUAAAUAAUCUCUAAAGAAAGACUUUACUUUGCUGUAAAAGUACACCAUCAUCCUCAAUGAAAAGUCUUCUGUUUCACAGAUGCAUAGAGUCAGUUGUACUAAAAAUUUUUUUAUUUACUAUUAGUAAUUCUUGUUAGACCGUAUGUGGCCCUCUAUGCUGUUUGAUGUUAUGAAUUCCUUUUGAGGGAGCCCAUCUUCUUGUGUGUUUGUAUAGUUCUUAACUUCUACAGAAAUACCAAUGAGAAACAACUCAGUGGAUUAAUGACGGAAUCUGGCCUGUGGCAUUGAUUAUCUUCUUCCUACGUGAAAUUUGUUAGUGUAGCUCCCGUAAUGGCUCUGUCAUUGUGUUACAAAGAGUUGAAUCAUGAGAGCUCUAACUGGUAAAACCUUACUGAUUUAUGUCUGUGAAGUCUCUGGCUAUAAGCUUGUAGCCUUCAAGUUGUGUUAGCUGUUUUGGAAUGUACUCUCCUGUGGAGUCUUACAAGAAAACUCCCAUUAAAUCUUCCUUUAGUGUAAAAAUGUCCAUUCUCUAAUAUGCUUUUUCCUCGAAGUUUUUGUUGUAUGUUUCUUUAAUGCAAAUUCAGUUACUUGUUUGUAGUAAAAUUUCCAUUGACUUCAGUUUGGGAAGUCAUGCUUUAGAUUUCUGAUAUUAGCUAAUAAGUUGCUGUACAAUUUGUGCCAUUAUCUGUUACCAGUAGGUGGAAGCUAAUGCUGUAAAAACCCAAUUACACUGCCCUGUGAGAUUUAAAUGCAGAUAUGCAGGAAGAUGGUAAUAUGAACCUACAACACCUAUCACAAAACAUCAACUGAACUAGUCAAGCGUUAAGUCUAAUGUUGAAAAGAAGGUAUCUUAUUUCAAGAACUUGUUUGUUCUACUCAUGAAUGGGUAAUAAAAUGACAUGAAUGGUAAUUUAGAAAAACAGCCUGUGAACCUUUAAUACUGUGUAUGCUCGUACAAUUGGAGUGAUAUAAUUUUUUGAUGGAAACAUAUUUGGACUUUGGCAUGGAGCAGAGGUGGAUGAGGAAGAUGUGAAAGAGUCGGCAAAGAAAGGCAAUGAGAGUAGAAUUAGGGAAUUUUAUUUGCUGCAGUUAAGGGGAUGAAUAUGAACCAGCUAGUUUAAUUUGCUCAAACCCAUAUCAACUCCAAAUAUGUUUUGCUAAAUGGUUUUAAUUGUUCAUAAUUACAUUUUUAUAAAACUUGAUAUGUCGGUAUCACGUGGUAGAUACCAGAAUACACAGUAGUAAACAGUUCUUAACUCCAGUAACUUACUUUGCACAGGAAGGACAGGUAGUAAAAACAAAGAAAAGAUGUAAAACACACAUGUACCCAAAAUUAGUGUGAUGUCAGCUGUCAUGGUGUAUCCAGUGGGAUCUUGUGAGAAUUGGUGGUUGUUUGAAAAUGGAAAAUAUUGGGAUAUUCAGUAUAGGGAGCACUGAAAAUAUUACCAUCUGACAUUAGCUUAUCAGUGAAGCUGAGGAGAUUGAUUAGAUUGAUGGCACUGUACUUUAUUAAUCCAAAACUAUUAAAAUACAGUUAAUGUUCUGUUUGACAAGUAGAUCCAUCAAACUUGUUGAUAUGGCUAGAGGAUAUUGCUCUGACAAAAAGGUAAGACAGGUGUUUUUCUUCCAGAAGUUCAUGGUGUUUUUUUUUUCAUAAUUUCAUCUCACGAACUAGAGCAGCCUACAGGUGAUGGAUAGCCUCGCAAACAGCUGAGUUCAUGUUUUGAACCCCUAUUUAUGCAGGUGUUCCACCUGUAGCAUCCAAAUAAAGACCAGCUGGGGCUUCUUCAUAGUAGGCUACCAUUUCCACUUACAAAAGGAUAGCAGCAUGACCUUAAUGCACUGGCAGAAAUGUGCUGAGGGAUCACACGAGGGAAGAAGACUUGUGAUCUCAGCCUCUGUGAAGGCAGAUAAGUUUUUGAAAUGUUAUUUAUAAGAGAAGGAAAAUUGUUUGCAUCUUAUCUCCCCGUGGAAGAUCAUUGUCCAAACCCAUGGGGAGAAACUGCACAGGGCCAAGUAAAACCACAGACUCCUUUGCUUGCCUUGAAUGUCUUCUUGCAGACAGAUCUGCCCACUUCUAGCUUUGCAUCAUCUCAGGAUCCUGUAGUCAAAGUGGGACCUCUUAAGCCAUAGCAAACCUCAAACCUUGCCUUCAGUGCUCAGGAACUUAUUAUGGAAGCAAGUCUCUCUCCUGCAACAUCUGUGUUUUCCUUCAGUCCAGCCUACUCCAGACUCCUGCUCCAAUCUUCGCCAGUCCUCUAGUCUGAGUUUUAACAAGAUUUUCUGUUAAUACAGAACAUGGUUACCCAUCUGCUAAAUAAGCAGACUAAAGUUUGUUGAUGGGGCUUCAGCGCAUCAGCCAACUUCACAGUAAACUUGGUUGGCUGAUCCCUAUCCAGUACAGAUGAAUUGUCAAAAAAAUCAAUCCUGAUACACCUUUUAUUUGCCUAUUCAGUGAGUGAGAACUUGCUCUUGCAGAAACAUUGUAUGGGUACUGGCAAAUAACAGUGCGUUUCCAACAACUCCUAGUUGUGUACAGGAGCAGCAAUGUCUCUGUUGGGGGAAUCUGACAAAUGUGCAAUGUUCGUUCUGGCACUCCUUCCUAUUUCAGACUAUUGAUAAGCUUUCCCUCUUAGAUCUUCAUAGGUUUCUAAAUUAACCGUGAAGUAUUUGCUUUGACCUAUAGAUAAAUAAAUGUCCCAAGGUUUAUCUGAGAAUGUUUCCCAAGAUUGAAAUAAGAAAAUAAAGUAGCAGAUGAACUGUUUCCAAGAUCUAUAAACUGUAUGAGCAACUUGUUCUGACUGCAAGGCUGGCAUUUCUGCUCACCCUGUGACCAUGAGAAAUUGGAUAUUUAGUGGGGUUUGCCAGUGGGAAAAUGGAAAUUGUGGGGAGUAGGAAAGUGUAUUUACUUUAUAUUCUUACUGAAUUGUCUGAUUUGGUCUAAGGAGGAUUCAUUAGUUUGUUUAUGUAUUGUGGGUGGCUUUUAAGAGUUUACCAGUUAUACGUACAACAUUGUAAGGUGGCUUUUAAGUCAUGCUAUCUAGUAAGUAAAAUCCAUUUUACUUACCAUGCUAUGUAGUAAGUAAAUUACACAACAAAGUAAUACACAGCAAAUGAUAGUUAAGAAAGUAUUUUGUAUUUAUAUACAUACAUAUAUCAUAAACUUUAUUUAUAAUCCUAAGUUUAUUUGCCCAAGUAUAAAGCUAUGCAUUUUUAUUUGUAUACUGUGCUCAUUUACAGUGUCUGUGGGUGAUGAAAAUAGAAUACGUAAUGUACAGAAAAUGACCUUGGAAUACAGCUGCAUGUUUAAGUGUGUAAUAGAACUGGUUUCUUUCUCAAGCACAGCAGUGAAACUUCUGACAGUGAGAUAAGAUAAUAGGAUUUGGUAUACCAAACCAGCUCUGCUGUCUACAUAAUCUAGAAGUGCUGAUAAACUUCUGCUUAAGAAGAAGCCAAAAACAAACAUCGGAACGGGUGACACACAGAGGCAGCUGCUGAAGCCUACACGUGGGGAACAUUUCUUUCUAAUCUUUGUAUGUGAUCAGGUUAUGCCCUGACAUAGGACCCUGGAGUGCUCAUGUUACCCUAAGCUGGCUCAGCAGUGAGUGCUUUCGAGUUGCCAACUCAUCAUCCAGCUCCUCACAAAACCUUACAGUCCAUGUGUUGCAUACUCAUGCUGAAGGAAAUGCAACGUUGCUAUUAUAAAUUAAAUCCCUCUGUGUUAAAUUGAGUUGUUUUAGCUUGAAAGGUAAAUCAUUACUUCAAAUUCCACAAAACAGAAGCUUGAUUUCAUGAGGAACUUCUUCAUUUUCUGGAAGUGUAACUUUUUUGUUUUUCCCCCCCAAGCUAGAGAAUUCUAACCUUAAUUAUUCUGUACUGAUAGAAAAACUUGAUAUUACACUGGCUUUAUUUUUGGCCUUUUUCCCUUCUGAACGUUUACUAACUUUAAGCUGAAAGAGGACUCUGAAUGCCUUCAAGAAACUUGUAAUAUUGAUAGAGAAACAACAUAGUAGGGAGAUAGGGAGAGAGGACCAGCUGUUCAAUACUGAAGACAAACAUCCUCCUGUAUCUAAUAUAAUUUGCAUACAUUAUCAUGAUACUUAUUUUUAGUUCCACACAGCACUAUUUUUUUCUGAUUUAGAUGUGCUGUCUAGGUUACUAUUUUAUACUAAUGAGAGACAAAUAAUAAUGUUUUGCUUUGUUUUGGGAUUAGAGAAUGAGCAGGCUGGGAAUUCUGAAUUGAGAAUGGUAUUGUAGAUUGACAGGUUCCAGCUGAAAUUUGUCUAUUUGAGAAGACAAACAAGAUCAAACCAGUGGGAGCAGCCUUGCAGGACAAAGAUGAACAGUAGUUGCCCAAUGAUAAUCCCAAGCUGAUUUGCUGGAAGGGUAAUUCUAAGUGUAGCUCUUUUACCCAAGGAGGCAAUGCCUGUGCACUGCACACAGGCAGCAGUGGCAGUUCAUGUCUCAGAUAUUGCUUGUGUUAGAGCAUCGCAAAGCAGAACUGUGUGCUACACAUGCAGAUGAACUGAAAGAUGUGAAAAAGGGCUAAUUUGAGAUAACACCUUCAUGGACACAUGGACACAAUUUUUUAGGUGACUAAAAGGUAGCCCAGUAAAGUACGAAUGUUGCUACACCCAGAACAUACUUGUUAAACUGUAAAUUUUGCUCCUUUUAUUAAGUGUAUGGCUUAUCAGUGUGUAUAUUUAAUAGAAAGAUGGUUUUGCACCUUUUUUCCUCACUUAUCAUUUCUUUCCAUACUUUCAGCUCUCACUUUCCCAAAGGCUGGCUAAGACAGAAACAUGGUAAAUGUAAUAAACAUGCUAACCUAGCAAACUAAUGCAAGAUGUUAUUGGGGAGAGGAGGAAACUUCAUUGGCCAUGGAGUACAGAGAUCCUCCAGCUGGUCCAAAAUGAUAUGUUUUAAAGGUGUGGGGAAGUGAAUCGUGAUCAUUCUGCUUUUAGACCAGAGCCUGGCCCCCUCAGGACACUUCAGAUACUGUGUCCAACAGGGUGGCUGACCACAACCUAAAUAAGGUGACCAGAGGCAUUCCUAACAUCGGGCUGCUAAGCAAAGUGUUGAUCUGUGUUCCCAGAGAUUUCAGCAUUUGUAACUAAGAAGGAACAGGCAGGUGGUUUAGUUUCUCAGUUCAGAAGCACAGUUCUUGGUGAGGAUUUCAGCAGGCUUUCUUUUAGGAGAGAACCCAUAGCAGCUGCACCUCAUCUUUAUCAUCCCAACACUUACAUUAGCUAUGUUUAUAUGCUGCAUCUUUUAUUUGCCUACUAUCUUGUUUGCAUUUUUAAUUGCUGUUGUGCUACUGGGUUAGAAGAAGGAAUUUCUGGGAAAAGUUAUACAAUCAGUCUUGCACAGAGGUUGCAGUAGUGUGGUCACUGAUGCAAUCAUUUGGGCACGGACCUUUUCUGAGCUUCUUGAGUUUUUUUCCUAUUGAAGGUACCGAAUUGAGUGCUGUGUAUGUUGUGACACACUGGUGUUUAGGAGAAUGUACAGUCCCCAUAGUAUUGAAUUAGGAUAGACUUUCUGAAGUGUAGUGUGGUUGCAACACCCAUGCAAAGGAGUAGCAUCAGGAAGAGUAUUAUUGCAGCAAGAGGGUGAUUUGGGGCUGCUCAGACCUGCAACAGCAGUCUGUAGGCAGUGCUCAGAGGACUGCUAUAAAUCAUAAUGGUUCCUAGCUGCCUGCCAAUGUAACCAGGCACCAGAGAGUGAUCUGCAAAAAUAAAGCAGAUACACAAGGGAAUGUGGGAAAUCUAUAGAAGAUGCUUGUAGAAGAUCAGUGCAUAGAUACCUACAAUAGCUCUCUCUGCACUCUCAGCCACUGAAUUUAUUUAUUUAUUUAUUUAUUUUGUGAAACUAUACCAAUGAUGGGCAGUAUCAUAGCUUAAUGUUUUGAAUGAAUAGAAAGCUUUUAAUCAGAUCUGUUGUUUGCAUAGGAAUAAACGCUUAAGUUCUUUUGAGGUGAUGCUUAACUUUGGGAGUCUUUUUGACCAGAAGGGUCUGGGGGUCUGGCAAUGGGGAAAUGGCAUAAAGAUGCAGCCACAAGUAGAGUUCAGCAUUUCUCAGGCUUAGCAACUCGGCAUUGAUGACUCUGUGUGUAUAAAUGAGCUUAGCACAGUUCCCGAGGUAAUGAGCUCUGACUCUUGCUGCCACACAAUACCAAGGGUGCAGAGCAGCACUAAUGCAGUUUUGCUGUUCUGUGCCUGGGAACUGGCUCAUCGAUCUUGGGUUCCUAUGCAGCAUUCUCUCUCCACAUCGUGUUUAGCACAGUCAGAGCCAGUUCAGGUCUGUCUGCAUCCAUCAGCACAGCAUGGCCAAAGAGCUUGUCUUUAGUGUACUUUGAGUGAGCCCAGAUGAGCUGUGCUUGUUCUGUUCUUUUGAGCUCCUUUAUUAACCUUUGGACAAUAAGUGGAGUGUUCUUCAGGCUUGUGAUUUACUAGUGUGUAAUGAAGAAUAAAAUUGCUUUUGUUCUUUAAAAAGUUGAAGAGACCUUACUGGAUUCUGAAACUGUGACAAAAGCUGGUUUGAACCAGUUGGGUCUUUCUGUUGCUUUUCUUUUUCUUUUGUUUUGGUCUUUCAACUCUAUUGUCAGAAGUGCGAAUGUGCUAUUUUGGCAAGGUAUCAUUUUCCAGUUCAUUGCUUUGGAAUGCUAUGUGAGAAAUGUGCAUUCACACUACAAGCGCUUUAAUGGGUAAUUAGAUAAGUGCAAUUUAAUGUGAGAAAUGAAAUUUUUAAAAUCAAUGUUUAUGUAAUUUAUCUGUCAAGAAAUAACCUUUAUGCUACUUUGAGGGAUGCAAA